GAACUGCGAUAAGUAAUGUGAAUUGCAGAAUUCAGUGAAUCAUCGAGUCUUUGAACGCACAUUGCGCCCCCUGGCAUUCCGGGGGGCAUGCCUGUCCGAGCGUCAUUGCUGCCCUUCAAGACCGGCUUGUGUGUUGGGUCGUCGUCCCCUCCGGGGGACGGGCCCGAAAGGCAGCGGCGGCACCGCGUCCGGUCCUCGAGCGUAUGGGGCUUUGUCACCCGCUCGAUAAGGACCGGCCGGGCGCCAGCCGGCGUCUCCAACCUUUUUUUCUCAGGUUGACCUCGGAUCAGGUAGGGAUACCCGCUGAACUUAAGC
RNAcentral lists this unclassified non-coding RNA (315 nucleotides) under plant metagenome. RNAcentral's name for it is "partial contains 5.8S ribosomal RNA, internal transcribed spacer 2, and large subunit ribosomal RNA". The stretch from base 1 to 105 matches the Rfam family "5.8S ribosomal RNA", at positions 50 to 154 of the family's 154-position model. The record is from RNAcentral.